AUGACGGUAGCUCAGUCGGGUAGAGCAGCGAAUUCUUAAUUCGUAGGUCGCCGGUUCGAUUCCGGCACGUCGUU
This 74-nucleotide transfer RNA is filed under the name Lysobacter sp. Its description in RNAcentral is "tRNA-Lys". It matches the Rfam family "tRNA". From Rfam's summary of the family: Transfer RNA (tRNA) molecules are approximately 80 nucleotides in length. Their secondary structure includes four short double-helical elements and three loops (D, anti-codon, and T loops). The record is from RNAcentral. Lineage: Bacteria; Pseudomonadati; Pseudomonadota; Gammaproteobacteria; Lysobacterales; Lysobacteraceae.